RNAcentral lists this ribosomal RNA (874 nucleotides) under Saccharomyces sp. WW-W58. RNAcentral describes it as "SSU rRNA". It matches the Rfam family "Eukaryotic small subunit ribosomal RNA", at positions 1 to 886 of the family's 1831-position model. Lineage: Eukaryota; Fungi; Ascomycota; Saccharomycetes; Saccharomycetales; Saccharomycetaceae. The record is from RNAcentral.
GAAUUCACUAGUGAUUGUAGUCAUAUGGUUGUCUCAAAGAUUAAGCCAUGCAUGUCUAAGUAUAAGCAAUUUAUACAGUGAAACUGCGAAUGGCUCAUUAAAUCAGUUAUCGUUUAUUUGAUAGUUCCUUUACUACAUGGUAUAACUGUGGUAAUUCUAGAGCUAAUACAUGCUUAAAAUCUCGACCCUUUGGAAGAGAUGUAUUUAUUAGAUAAAAAAUCAAUGUCUUCGGACUCUUUGAUGAUUCAUAAUAACUUUUCGAAUCGCAUGGCCUUGUGCUGGCGAUGGUUCAUUCAAAUUUCUGCCCUAUCAACUUUCGAUGGUAGGAUAGUGGCCUACCAUGGUUUCAACGGGUAACGGGGAAUAAGGGUUCGAUUCCGGAGAGGGAGCCUGAGAAACGGCUACCACAUCCAAGGAAGGCAGCAGGCGCGCAAAUUACCCAAUCCUAAUUCAGGGAGGUAGUGACAAUAAAUAACGAUACAGGGCCCAUUCGGGUCUUGUAAUUGGAAUGAGUACAAUGUAAAUACCUUAACGAGGAACAAUUGGAGGGCAGGUCUGGUGCCAGCAGCCGCGGUAAUUCCAGCUCCAAUAGCGUAUAUUAAAGUUGUUGCAGUUAAAAAGCUCGUAGUUGAACUUUGGGCCCGGUUGGCCGGUCCGAUUUUUUCGUGUACUGGAUUUCCAACGGGGCCUUUCCUUCUGGCUAACCUUGAGUCCUUGUGGCUCUUGGCGAACCAGGACUUUUACUUUGAAAAAAUUAGAGUGUUCAAAGCAGGCGUAUUGCUCGAAUAUAUUAGCAUGGAAUAAUAGAAUAGGACGUUUGGUUCUAUUUUGUUGGUUUCUAGGACCAUCGUAAUGAUUAAUAGGGACGGUCGGG